AACGAACGCUGGCGGCAGGCCUAACACAUGCAAGUCGAACGCUCCGCAAGGGGAGUGGCGCACGGGUGAGUAACACGUGGGAACCUACCUUCUGGUACGGAACAACCAAGGGAAACUUUGGCUAAGACCGUAUACGACCUCCGGGUGAAAGAUUGAUCGCCGGAAGAGGGGCCCGCGUCCGAUUAGGUAGUUGGUGAGGUAACGGCUCACCAAGCCUUCGAUCGGUAGCUGGUCUGAGAGGAUGACCAGCCACACUGGGACUGAGACACGGCCCAGACUCCUACGGGAGGCAGCAGUGGGGAAUAUUGGACAAUGGGCGCAAGCCUGAUCCAGCCAUGCCGCGUGAGUGAUGAAGGCCUUCGGUUGUAA
This 369-nucleotide ribosomal RNA is filed under the name uncultured bacterium. RNAcentral's name for it is "bacterial SSU rRNA". It matches the Rfam family "Bacterial small subunit ribosomal RNA", at positions 29 to 428 of the family's 1533-position model. The record is from RNAcentral.